ACGGGUGAGUAAUGCCUAGGAAUCUGCCUGGUAGUGGGGGAUAACGUUCGGAAACGGACGCUGAUACCGCAUACGUCCUACGGGAGAAAGCAGGGGACCUUCGGGCCUUGCGCUAUCAGAUGAGCCUAGGUCGGAUUACCUAGUUGGUGAGGUAAUGGCUCACCAAGGCGACCAUCCGUAACUGGUCUGAGAGGAUGAUCAGUCACACUGGAACUGAGACACGGUCCAUACUCCUACGGGAGGCAGCAAUGGGGAAUAUUGGACAAUGGGCGAAAGCCUGAUCCAGCCAUGCCGCGUGUGUGAAGAAGGUCUUCGGAUUGUAGAGCAUUUUACUUUGUGAGGAAGGGCAGUUACCUAAUACGUGAUUGUUUUGACGUUACCGACAGAAUAAGCACCGGCUAACUCUGUGCCAGCAGCCGCGGUAAUACAGAGGGUGCAAGCGUUAAUCGGAAUUACUGGGCGUAAAGCGCGCGUAGGUGGUUUGUUAAGUUGGAUGUGAAAUCCCCGGGCUCAACCUGGGAACUGCAUUCAAAACUGACUGACUAGAGUAUGGUAGAGGGUGGUGGAAUUUCCUGUGUAGCGGUG
This 585-nucleotide ribosomal RNA is filed under the name Pseudomonas sp. StFLB217. Its description in RNAcentral is "bacterial SSU rRNA". It matches the Rfam family "Bacterial small subunit ribosomal RNA", at positions 102 to 683 of the family's 1533-position model. The record is from RNAcentral. Lineage: Bacteria; Pseudomonadati; Pseudomonadota; Gammaproteobacteria; Pseudomonadales; Pseudomonadaceae.